AACGCGAAGAACCUUACCUCGGGACCUCCCAUGAAUGGUGAGGUGCCUUUGGGAAGCCAGAACACGGGGCUGCGGGCGUUCCUAACCUCGUGUCGUGAGAUUUGGGUUAAGUCCCGCAACGAGCCCAACCCUUGCCUUUUUUCCCAUCAUUUAGUUGGGCACUCUUAAGAGACGCCCGUGACAAACGGAGGAAAGGGGGGAGGACGUCAAGUCCUCAUGGCCCUUAUGCCGGGCUUCACACGUCAUACAAUGGGCGGUACAAAGGGUUGCCAACCCGCGAGGGGGAGCCAAUCCCAUAAAGCCUUCGGAGUCCGGAUCGCAGUCUGCAACUCGACUCCCUGAAAUGGGAAUCUCUAGUAAUCUCAGAUCAACAUGCUCCCGGGAAUACUUUCCCCCGUCUUG
This 402-nucleotide ribosomal RNA is filed under the name uncultured bacterium. RNAcentral describes it as "bacterial SSU rRNA". It matches the Rfam family "Bacterial small subunit ribosomal RNA", at positions 958 to 1383 of the family's 1533-position model. The record is from RNAcentral.